Molecule: ribosomal RNA, 476 nt
Filed under: Eufoenus sp. M21
Lineage: Eukaryota; Metazoa; Arthropoda; Insecta; Hymenoptera; Gasteruptiidae
Description: SSU rRNA
Rfam family: Eukaryotic small subunit ribosomal RNA
Source: RNAcentral
UUACCCACUCCCGGCACGGGGAGGUAGUGACGGAAAAAUAACGAUACNGGACUCAUCCGAGGCCCCGUAAUCGGGAAUGGGUACACUUUAAAUCCUUUAACGAGGAUCCAUUGGAAGGGCAAGUCUGGUGCCAGCAGCCGCGGUAAUUCAAGCUCCAAUAGCGUAUAUUAAAGUUGUUGCGGUUAAAAAGCUCGUAGUUGAAUCUGUGUCCCACACUGUUGGUUCACCGCUCGCGGUGUCAACUGGCAGCUUGUGGUACGUCCUACCGGUGGGCUUAGCUCCUUCACGGGAGCGGUCCAACUAAUAUCCCAUCGCGGUGCUCUUCAUCGAGUGUCGAGGUGGGCCGGUACGUUUACUUUGAACAAAUUAGAGUGCUUAAAGCAGGCUCUUCUCGCCUGAAUACUGUGUGCAUGGAAUAAUGGAAUAGGACCUCGGUUCUAUUUUGUUGGUUUUCGGAACCCCCAGGUAAUGAUUAA